CGAAGUAUAGCAUAUACAAUGCUUUUUACUUACACUAAAAAUAAAACAAACAGUUUACUUCGCUU
This 65-nucleotide transfer RNA is filed under the name Aporrectodea georgii. RNAcentral's name for it is "tRNA-Val". RNAcentral also lists the same sequence under 1 other name. Lineage: Eukaryota; Metazoa; Annelida; Clitellata; Crassiclitellata; Lumbricidae. The record is from RNAcentral.